GAGGGUACAGCUCAAGUGGUAAAGCACAUGCCUAGCAUGUGCAAGGUCCUGGGUUCAAUCCCUAGUACCUUCU
Molecule: transfer RNA, 73 nt
Filed under: Camelus ferus (Wild Bactrian camel)
Lineage: Eukaryota; Metazoa; Chordata; Mammalia; Artiodactyla; Camelidae
Rfam family: tRNA
About the family: Transfer RNA (tRNA) molecules are approximately 80 nucleotides in length.
Source: Rfam by way of RNAcentral